AGAACGAACGCUGGCGGCAUGCCUAAUACAUGCAAGUCGAACGAACUCUUCGGAGUUAGUGGCGCACGGGUGCGUAACGCGUGGGAAUCUGCCCCUUGGUUCGGAAUAACAGUUGGAAACGACUGCUAAUACCGGAUGAUGACGAAAGUCCAAAGAUUUAUCGCCAAGGGAUGAGCCCGCGUAGGAUUAGCUAGUUGGUGAGGUAAAGGCUCACCAAGGCAACGAUCCUUAGCUGGUCUGAGAGGAUGAUCAGCCACACUGGGACUGAGACCACGGCCCAGACUCCUACGGGAGCAGCAGUAGGGAAUAGUGGACAAGUGGGACAAAGCCUAGAUCCAGCAAUCGCCGCGUGAGUGAGUGAAGGCCGUUAGGGU
Molecule: ribosomal RNA, 374 nt
Filed under: uncultured soil bacterium
Lineage: Bacteria
Description: bacterial SSU rRNA
Rfam family: Bacterial small subunit ribosomal RNA
Source: RNAcentral